Molecule: long non-coding RNA, 1206 nt
Filed under: Equus asinus (donkey)
Lineage: Eukaryota; Metazoa; Chordata; Mammalia; Perissodactyla; Equidae
Description: lncRNA (ENSEASG00005025426.1)
Source: RNAcentral
AUGUUUUUAUUUCAUUAGAGGAAUGGUUGAAGAAGUCAAGAGUAUGUUUUUACAACAGAAGCAUUAUCGCCGCCAUUACUGGGAGACAUAAUUUAUUGCCCAAAUAAGGACACUUUUACAAGUGAAAUGAAGAGUUUUAAUAAUUACAGUGGGGUUACAGGAGUAAAUGUAAACCUUUCUGGACGUAUCAGGACAUCUGGUCAAUCAAGCCAUUAUAUAUUUGAAUACUCUCCUGUGGAAAAGGAAUCAAAAACGAGACAAAGCAACAAACGGCAAAAAUGAGGCAAAGAUAGUUUAACGCCUGGCACAGAAGAGGCAAUUAAAAAAAAAAACAUUAAAUGAAAUCUCAGGAUGGAGGAUGUUUAUAAAAAGGUCGAGAAGUUGUAAGAUCUUCACUUCUGAAAAGUUUUAUUCAGUCUCUCUAAAUAUAUUUCUCCUCUCUUCUCUUCUCUUCUCUCUCUCUCAUUCUCAAAAGAUGUUACAAAAAUAGAGAGGUCAGAAAGAAAAUAACCCUUCUUCUGUGAAAAUAACCCUUCUUCUCUUUCAUUACAAAAAUAAAUUCACCAUGAUGUUCAUUACAACUGUGGACCCCCUGACUUAUGGAAUUCAUCCUUGGAACAUCUUUUACAUUAAGAAGAACAAUGGGGCAAAAAGGGAUUUCAGCACUGUCGGAUGUAUAUUACUCACAACCAUAGCUAUGUCAAAUAUCAUCUUAGCAAAAUUGAAAUAGAUUUUAAAGUCACAUUUAUCUUUAAAUACAUCAAGCAGUUCUGUAGAUUUUUUUUUUCAAGAAGAGAGAAACAUUCUCCAUAUUUCUCUUCUAAUGGUAUUCAAAUUAUUGUAAAAAGUUCUUUAAAUUUUACAUCUUUGCCACACUGCUGCCUCUGAGCUACAGUGUUGCAGUGAAACUUUAUGGCCCAUGAUUUCAGGUGCACAAUGAGUCCAGGCAAUGGAAAUUGCUAGUCGUCUGGUCACCUUUUUGGUCAAUAACAUGAACCAUUUGCUUUCACUCAUAGUUGCCAGUCCUUCACAGAGCUGCUGCUUGCUUGUCUCUGUUUUUUAAUUUCCGUGAAAUGGAAUGAAGAUGAGAAAAGCAUUAAGUGCUGCUAAAAAACUGCCUACAGUUCAGACUGUCCUUUUCUGGCAAAGAUAUUCUACUUACUUCAUCUGUCUUAUGAUCUGUGACACUGCUUCUUAGAGAGACCU